GUGCCAGCAGCCGCGGUAAUACGUAGGUGGCAAGCGUUAUCCGGAAUUAUUGGGCGUAAAGCGCGCGUAGGCGGUUUUUUAAGUCUGAUGUGAAAGCCCACGGCUCAACCGUGGAGGGUCAUUGGAAACUGGAAAACUUGAGUGCAGAAGAGGAAAGUGGAAUUCCAUGUGUAGCGGUGAAAUGCGCAGAGAUAUGGAGGAACACCAGUGGCGAAGGCGACUUUCUGCGUCUGUAACUGACGCUGAUGUGUUAAAGCGUGGGGAUCAAACA
RNAcentral lists this ribosomal RNA (271 nucleotides) under uncultured Staphylococcus sp. RNAcentral's name for it is "partial 16S ribosomal RNA". It matches the Rfam family "Bacterial small subunit ribosomal RNA", at positions 505 to 774 of the family's 1533-position model. The record is from RNAcentral. Lineage: Bacteria; Bacillati; Bacillota; Bacilli; Caryophanales; Staphylococcaceae.